AGAGUUUGAUCAUGGCUCAGGAUUAACGCUGGCGGUAUGCCUAACACAUGCAAGUCGAACGGAAUACUAAUUAAGAGAAUCUCACACUAGUGAGAGGUUCUCACGAGUAGUAUUUAGUGGCGGACGGGUGAGUACACGUUGGAACCUGCCCCGAAGUGGGGAAUAACUGCUCGAAAGAGUAGCUAAUACCCCAUAGUAUCCGGUUUAUCCGGAUUAAAGAUUUAUCGCUUCGGGAGGGGCCUGCGUCUGAUUAGCUAGUUGGUGAGGUAAAAGCUCACCAAGGCGACGAUCAGUAGCUGGUUCGAGAGGAUGACCAGCCACACUGGGACUGAGAUACGGCCCAGACUCCUACGGGAGGCAGCAGUGAGGAAUCUUCCACAAUGGGCGCAAGCCUGAUGGAGCAAUACCGCGUGCAGGAAGACGCUUUUCGGAGUGUAAACUGCUUUUGUCGUCGAAGAUUAUGACUGUAGACGAAGAAUAAGGACCGGCUAACUACGUG
This 499-nucleotide ribosomal RNA is filed under the name uncultured bacterium. RNAcentral describes it as "bacterial SSU rRNA". It matches the Rfam family "Bacterial small subunit ribosomal RNA", at positions 8 to 507 of the family's 1533-position model. The record is from RNAcentral.